AAGCACUUUGUGACUUUUUCCUGUGAAAGGUGCUUUAUUAAACUGUACUUUUGAUGAUUCAGCAUUUCAAAAUGGCACCAAAACCGCACAGAGCUAAUCUUAAUUCCUUGUUAUGUUUUUUGUUUGCUUGUGUAUGUGCUGUCCACCUGGUCUGUUUGUGUGUGUGUGUGUGUGUGUGUGAAUGUGUCUCCAGCUAAGAAAGCGUCAAAGUUUCGGGACUGGCUGGAUUGCAGCACUUUAGAGCUGAAACCCAACAGCAUUGCAAUGGAGAUCCUGUCCUACCUGGCCUAUGAGACUGUUGCCCAGAUUGUGGAUUUGUCUCUGUUGGUAAAGCAGGAAAUGACUGCGAAGAGCAAUCCCAUCAGUCAUGUGAUCUCUGCCAGCUACAUCCACUACAACACUCAUGCUGAGGUA
Molecule: long non-coding RNA, 414 nt
Organism: Micropterus dolomieu (smallmouth bass)
Lineage: Eukaryota; Metazoa; Chordata; Actinopteri; Centrarchiformes; Centrarchidae
Exons: 2
Source: RefSeq, a predicted model, not a curated record